This 639-nucleotide ribosomal RNA is filed under the name uncultured Actinomycetes bacterium. Its description in RNAcentral is "bacterial SSU rRNA". It matches the Rfam family "Bacterial small subunit ribosomal RNA", at positions 232 to 885 of the family's 1533-position model. Lineage: Bacteria; Bacillati; Actinomycetota; Actinomycetes. The record is from RNAcentral.
CGCGGCCUAUCAGCUUGUUGGUGAGGUAACGGCCCACCAAGGCGACGACGGGUAGCCGGCCUGAGAGGGUGACCGGCCACACUGGGACUGAGACACGGCCCAGACUCCUACGGGAGGCAGCAGUGGGGAAUAUUGCACAAUGGGCGAAGGCCUGAUGCAGCAACGCCGCGUGCGGGAAGAAGGCCCUAGGGUUGUAAACCGCUUUCAGCAGGGAAGAAAAUGACGGUACCUGCAGAAGAAGGUGCGGCCAACUACGUGCCAGCAGCCGCGGUGACACGUAGGCACCAAGCGUUGUCCGGAUUUAUUGGGCGUAAAGAGCUCGUAGGCGGUUCUGUAAGUCGGAUGUGAAAACUCAGGGCUCAACCCUGAGACGCCAUCUGAUACUGCAGUGACUAGAGUCCGGUAGAGGAAGAUGGAAUUCCUGGUGUAGCGGUGGAAUGCGCAGAUAUCAGGAGGAACACCAAUGGCGAAGGCAGUCUUCUGGGCCGGUACUGACGCUGAGGAGCGAAAGCAUGGGGAGCAAACAGGAUUAGAUACCCUGGUAGUCCACGCCGUAAACGUUGGGCACUAGGUGUGGGUCCCAUCCAACGGGAUCCGCGCCGCAGCUAACGCAUUAAGUGCCCCGCCUGGGGAGUACGG